RNAcentral lists this ribosomal RNA (497 nucleotides) under uncultured bacterium. RNAcentral's name for it is "partial 16S ribosomal RNA". It matches the Rfam family "Bacterial small subunit ribosomal RNA", at positions 28 to 507 of the family's 1533-position model. The record is from RNAcentral.
GAUGAACGCUGGCGGCGUGCCUAAUACAUGCAAGUCGAGCGAACGCACGAGAAGCUUGCCUCCCUGAUGUUAGCCGCGCACGUGUGUGUAACAUGUGGAUCCCCUCCCUAUCUUACUGGGAUCACCUCGGGAACCCGGAGCUAAUACCGGAUAAUAUUUUACUCCACAUUGUUCUCUAGUGAAAUACGUCCUUGCUGUCUCUUCUCGAUGGAUCCGCGCUGCUUUAGCUAGUUGGUAGGGUAACGGCCUACCAAGGCAACUAUGCAUAGCCGACCUGAGAGGGGGAUAGGCCACACGAGAAGUGAGACACGGUCCAGACGCCUACGGGAGGCAGCAGUAGGGAAUCUGACGCAAUGGGCGAAAGCCUGACGGAGCAACGCCGCGUGUGUGGUGAAGGUCUUCGGAUCGUAAAACUCUGUUAUUAGGGAAGAACAUAUGUGUAAGGAACUGUGCACAUCUUGACGGUACCUAAACAGAAAGCCACGGCUAACUACGUG